AGUGAUUCUAGCAGAAAGGUUUUGGGAAAGCCUGCCGGAGAGGGUGAAAGCCCCGUAGACGAAAACAGAGCAGACUGAGCAGGAUCCAGAGUACCACGAGACACGAGAAACCUUGUGGGAAGGCGGAGGGACCACCCUCCAAGGCUAAAUACUACUCAGUGACCGAUAGCGCAUAGUACUGUGAAGGAAAGGUGAAAAGGACCCCGGGAGGGGAGUGAAAGAGAACCUGAAACCCUGUGUUUACAAGCUGUGGAACUACGUUAAGGUAGGACCGCGUACUUUUUGUAGAACGGUCCGGCGAGUUGCGGAUACUGGCAAGGUUAAGCACUUAAGGUGCGGAGCCGAAGUGAAAGCAAGUGUUAAUAGCACGUAAAGUCAGUACAAGAAGACCCGAAACCGGGUGAUCUAUCCAUGUCCAGGUUGAAGCUGCCGUAAGAGGUAGUGGAGGGCCGAACGCACAUCCGUUGAAAAGGGUGGCGAUGAGGUGUGGGUAGGGGAGAAAUUCCAAUCGAACCCGGAGAUAGCUGGUUCUCCUCGAAAUAGCUUUAGGGCUAGCCUCGUAUUAGUCUUGCGGAGGUAGAGCACUGAAUUUCCUAGGGGGCGUCAAAGCCUACCGAAGAAUAUCAAACUCCGAAUGCCGCGUAGAUGAUGUACGGGAGUCAGACUGCACGAGAUAAGUUGGGUAGUCAAAAGGGAAAGAGCCCAGACCACCAGCUAAGGUCCCAAAGUGCGUGUUAAGUGGAAAAGGAUGUGGGAUUUCGAAGACAACCAGGAUGUUGGCUCAGAAGCAGCCACUCAUUCAAAGAGUGCGUAAUAGCUCACUGGUCGAGCGUCUUUGCGCGGAGAAUUUAACGGGGCUAAACCUGACACCGAAGCUUAGGCAAUACAGCAAUGUAUUGGGUAGGGGAGCGUUGUAUACGCGGUGAAACAGUAGCGCAAGCGGCUGUGGAGUGUAUAGAAGUGAGAAUGCCGGAAUGAGUAGCGCGAAUGCAGUGAGAAUCUGCAUGGCCGAAAGCCUCAGGUUUCUGGAGGAAGGUUCGUCCGCUCCAGGUUAGUCGGGAGCUAAGGUGAGGCCGGAAGGCGUAGCCGAUGCACAGACGGUAGAGAUUCCGUCACCACCAAAAGAGUUAAGCACAGGGACACAUUUGAAGUCUCAGAGCCGGGUGUUGGUUCCGGUAGAGAUCGAGGGAAAUUAGUACCGAAGUCCGGGAUGGAAGAUGGCGAGAAAAGCUGUGUGUAUUUCUGCGGUGCCCGUACCGCAAACCGACACAGGUAGGUAGGAAGAAGAUUCUAAGGCCAACGGGAGAAGGGUUGUUAAGGAACUCGGCAAAUUGACCCCGUAACUUCGGGAGAAGGGGUGCUCCAGAGAUGGAGCCGCAGAGAAUCGGCCCAAGCAACUGUUUACCAAAAACACAGGUUUGUGCUAAAUCGAAAGAUGACGUAUACGAGCUGACGCCUGCCCGGUGCUGGAAGGUUAAGAGGAGAUGUGCAAGCAUUGAAUCGAAGCCCCAGUGAACGGCGGCCGUAACUAUAACGGUCCUAAGGUAGCGAAAUUCCUUGUCAGGUAAGUUCUGACCCGCAUGAAAGGCGUAAUGAUUUGGGCACUGUCUCAACAGCCCGCCCGGCGAAAUUGUAGUACCGGUGAAGAUGCCGGUUACCCGCGACAAGACGGAAAGACCCCAUGGAGCUUUACUGUAGCCUAAUAUUGGGUUUCGAUGUUGCAUGCACAGGAUAGAUGGGACACAGGGAAACAAGUGCUUUGGCAUUUGUGGAGUGGCCGUUGGGAUACCAUCCUUGCGAUAUUGGAAUUCUAACCUGCGCCUUUGAAUCAAGGCGGGGGACAUUGUUAGGUGGGCAGUUUGACUGGGGCGGUCGCCUCCAAAAGAGUAACGGAGGCGUUCAAAGGUUCGCUCAGCUUGAACGGAAAUCAAGCAAAAGAGUGCAAACGCAGAAGCGAGCCUAACUGCGAGACUGACGGGUCGAGCAGUAACGAAAGUUGGAGUUAGUGAUCCGGUGGUAUGUGAGUGGAAAUGCCAUCGCUCAACGGAUAAAAGUUACCCUGGGGAUAACAGGCUGAUCUCCCCCAAGAGUCCACAUCGACGGGGAGGUUUGGCACCUCGAUGUCGGCUCAUCGCAUCCUGGGGCUGUAUUCGGUCCCAAGGGUUUGGCUGUUCGCCAAUUAAAGCGGUACGCGAGCUGGGUUCAGAACGUCGUGAGACAGUUCGGUCCCUAU
This 2233-nucleotide ribosomal RNA is filed under the name human gut metagenome. RNAcentral's name for it is "bacterial LSU rRNA". It matches the Rfam family "Bacterial large subunit ribosomal RNA", at positions 322 to 2641 of the family's 2925-position model. The record is from RNAcentral.